AUUGAACGCUGGCGGCAUGCCUUACACAUGCAAGUCGAACGGUAACAGGGAGCUUGCUCCGCUGACGAGUGGCGAACGGGUGAGUAAUAUAUCGGAACGUACCAUUGAGUGGGGGAUAACGUAGCGAAAGUUACGCUAAUACCGCAUAUUCUCUACGGAGGAAAGCAGGGGACCGCAAGGCCUUGCGCUCUUUGAGCGGCCGAUAUCAGAUUAGCUAGUUGGUGGGGUAAAAGCUCACCAAGGCGACGAUCUGUAGCGGGUCUGAGAGGAUGAUCCGCCACACUGGAACUGAGACACGGUCCAGACUCCUACGGGAGGCAGCAGUGGGGAAUUUUGGACAAUGGGCGCAAGCCUGAUCCAGCCAUGCCGCGUGAGUGAAGAAGGCCUUCGGGUUGUAAAGCUCUUUCAGCCGGGAAGAAAACGCAUCCUCUAAUACAGGGUGUGGAUGACGGUACCGGAAUAAGAAGCACCGGCUAACUACGUGC
Molecule: ribosomal RNA, 485 nt
Filed under: uncultured Dechloromonas sp.
Lineage: Bacteria; Pseudomonadati; Pseudomonadota; Betaproteobacteria; Rhodocyclales; Azonexaceae
Description: bacterial SSU rRNA
Rfam family: Bacterial small subunit ribosomal RNA
Source: RNAcentral